UGUAAUAUCUCAUUGUCUUUGGCUUCUUUACAGUGCUGCCUUGUUGCAUAUGGAUCAAGCAGCAUUGUACAGGGCUAUGAAGACAAUGAGUCUUGCU
RNAcentral lists this microRNA precursor (97 nucleotides) under Alligator mississippiensis (American alligator). RNAcentral's name for it is "microRNA ami-mir-103 precursor". Its record names the gene ami-mir-103. The stretch from base 11 to 88 matches the Rfam family "mir-103/107 microRNA precursor family". Rfam says of the family: This family consists of the mammalian microRNA (miRNA) precursors mir-103 and mir107. Animal miRNAs are transcribed as ~70nt precursors and subsequently processed by the Dicer enzyme to give a ~22nt product. In this case the mature sequence comes from the 3' arm of the precursor. Lineage: Eukaryota; Metazoa; Chordata; Crocodylia; Alligatoridae. The record is from miRBase by way of RNAcentral.